This 72-nucleotide transfer RNA is filed under the name Caldilineaceae bacterium. RNAcentral's name for it is "tRNA-Gly". It matches the Rfam family "tRNA". Rfam says of the family: Transfer RNA (tRNA) molecules are approximately 80 nucleotides in length. The record is from RNAcentral. Lineage: Bacteria; Bacillati; Chloroflexota; Caldilineae; Caldilineales; Caldilineaceae.
GCGGGUGUAGUUCAGUGGUAGAACGUCUCCUUGCCAAGGAGAAGGUCGUGAGUUCAAAUCUCAUCACCCGCU